CUGCUCAGUAACACGUGGAUAACCUACCCUUAGGACCGGAAUAACCCCGGGAAAUUGGGGAUAAUACCGGGUAAGCCAUAGACGCUGGAAUGCCCUAUGGUUCAAAGCUCCGGCGCCUAAGGAUGGAUCUGCGGUCUAUCAGGUUGUAGUGGGUGUAACGUACCUACUAGCCGACGACGGAUACGGGUUGUGAGAGCAAGAGCCCGGAGAUGGAUUCUGAGACACGAAUCCUGGCCCUACGGGGUGCAGCAGGCGCGAACACUUUACAAUGCGGGAAACCGCGAUAAGGGAACCCCGAGUGCCAGCAUCAAAUGUUGGCUGUCCGGAUGAUUAAAAAUCAUUUGUUAGCAAGGGCCGGGCAAGACCGGUGCCAGCCGCCGCGGUAACACCGGCGGCCCGAGUGGUAGCCGUUUUUAUUGGGUCUAAAGGGUCCGUAGCCGGCCUGAUAAGUCCUUUGGGAAAUCUGGCAGCUUAACUGUCAGGCUUCUAAGGGAUACUGUCAGGCUUGGGACCGGAAGAGGUAAGGGGUACUCCAGGGGUAGGAGUGAAAUCUUGUAAUCCCUGGGGGACCAUCUGUGGCGAAGGCGCCUUACCAGAACGGGUCCGACGGUGAGGGACGAAAGCUAGGGGAGCAAACCGGAUUAAAUACCCGGGUAGUCCUAGCUGUAAACGAUGCUCGCUAGGUGUCAGACACGGUGCGACCGUGUUUGGUGCCGCAGGGAAGCCGUUAAGCGAGCCACUUGGGAAGUACGGUCGCAAGGCUGAAACUUAAAGGAAUUGGCGGGGGAGCACUACAACGGGUGGAGCCUGCGGUUUAAUUGGAUUCAACGCCGGAAAACUCACCGGGUGCGACAGCAACAUGUAGGUCAGGCUGAAGGUCUUACCUGAAUCGCUGAGAGGAGGUGCAUGGCCGUCGUCAGUUCGUACUGUGAAGCAUCCUGUUAAGUCAGGCAACGAGCGAGACCCGCGCCCACAGUUGCCAGCAUGUUCUCUGGAACGAUGGGUACGCUGUGGGGACCGCCGCUGCUAAAGCGGAGGAAGGAACGGGCUACGGUAGGUCGGUAUGCCCCGAAUCUCCCGGGCUACACGCGGGCUACAAUG
Molecule: ribosomal RNA, 1101 nt
Filed under: uncultured archaeon
Lineage: Archaea
Description: bacterial SSU rRNA
Rfam family: Archaeal small subunit ribosomal RNA
Source: RNAcentral